RNAcentral lists this ribosomal RNA (678 nucleotides) under uncultured bacterium. RNAcentral describes it as "bacterial SSU rRNA". It matches the Rfam family "Bacterial small subunit ribosomal RNA", at positions 94 to 793 of the family's 1533-position model. The record is from RNAcentral.
AGUGGCGCACGGGUGCGUAACGCGUAUACAUCUGCCUUUAAGCGGGGAAUAGCCCAUGGAAACGUGGAUUAAUACCCCAUAGUUUCACCUGGAUAAACAUUUAUGGCUUAAAGAUGAGUAUGCGUCCUAUUAGUUAGUUGGUAAGGUAACGGCUUACCAAGACCGCGAUAGGUAGGGGUCCUGAGAGGGAGAUCCCCCACACUGGUACUGAGACACGGACCAGACUCCUACGGGAGGCAGCAGUGAGGAAUAUUGGACAAUGGAGGCAACUCUGAUCCAGCCAUGCCGCGUGCAGGAAGACGGCCUAUGGGUUGUAAACUGCUUUUAUACGGGAAGAACCACAUCUACGUGUAGAUGCUUGACGGUACCGUAUGAAUAAGGACCGGCUAACUCCGUGCCAGCAGCCGCGGUAAUACGGAGGGUCCAAGCGUUAUCCGGAAUCAUUGGGUUUAAAGGGUCCGUAGGCGGGAUAAUAAGUCAGUGGUGAAAGUCUGCAGCUCAACUGUAGAAUUGCCAUUGAUACUGUUGUUCUUGAAUUAUUAUGAAGUGGUUGGAAUGAGUAGUGUAGCGGUGAAAUGCAUAGAUAUUACUCAGAACACCCUUUGCGAAGGCGAAUCACUAUAUAUAUUGACGCUGAGGAACGGAAGCGUAGUAGCGACAGAUUAGAUACCCUGGUAG